UUUUAGUUUAGAAACCCUAGUUGCUUAUUUCUUUCUCCCCAACCGUCUCCCUCAAAACACUCUCCUCUCUUUUCUUUUUCUUUGGAAAGACGGCCGAAAAAAGGGCCAUGGUUGUCGGAUCAACGCCAGUUAAGGGUUACACGACCCCUAAACAGCCCUCUUUCGAAUCAUAAAACUCCAAAUCAAUCCCUCCAACUCCGAAAACCCCACAAAUACUGAUCUUAUGUUUAGAUUUAAAAGAAAAUGUGUACCUUUGGUUAAUGAAGAGGUGCUCUUCGUUCCGAUGAAGAAACGACGGGUCCUUCACCUGAAAGAUAAGGUAAACUAUAGCUGAACAGUGGUGGCUCGAUGACCUGAGCUGACGGUGACGACUCUUCUCCUCCUUGACGGCGGCAAUAGUAGUGAGAUUAGGGUUAGGGUAGAUUUGGUUUUUGUUAGAUUUAGGUUGAUUGAGUUUAGAGUUUAAUUUUGGCGAUUUAAUGUAAUUGGGCUUGAAAAAAAUAUAUGGAAAAUAAUUUUAAUAUUUUAAUA
Long non-coding RNA from Hibiscus syriacus, 531 nucleotides. RefSeq lists it as uncharacterized. The transcript is spliced from 2 exons. The record is from RefSeq and is a predicted model, not a curated record. Lineage: Eukaryota; Viridiplantae; Streptophyta; Magnoliopsida; Malvales; Malvaceae.